Molecule: ribosomal RNA, 460 nt
Filed under: uncultured bacterium
Lineage: Bacteria
Description: partial 16S ribosomal RNA
Rfam family: Bacterial small subunit ribosomal RNA
Source: RNAcentral
CCUACGGGAGGCAGCAGUGAGGAAUAUUGGUCAAUGGACGAGAGUCUGAACCAGCCAAGUAGCGUGAAGGAUGACUGCCCUAUGGGUUGUAAACUUCUUUUAUAUGGGAAUAAAAUGUUCCACGUGUGGGAUUUUGUAUGUACCAUAUGAAUAAGGAUUGGCUAACUCCGUGCCAGCAGCCGCGGUAAUACGGAGGAUCCGAGCGUUAUCCGGAUUUAGUGGGUUUAAAGGGAUCGUAGGUGGAUUGUUAAGUCAGUUGUGAAAGUUUGCGGCUCAACCGUAAAAUUGCAGUUGAAACUGGCAGUCUUGAGUACAGUAGAGGUGGGCGGAAUUCGUGGUGUAGCGGUGAAAUGCUUAGAUAUCACGAAGAACUCCGAUUGCGAAGGCAGCUCACUGGACUGCAACUGACACUGAGGCUCGAAAGUGUGGGUAUCAAACAGGAUUAGAUACCCUAGUAGUC